This is a long non-coding RNA of Helianthus annuus (common sunflower), 1068 nucleotides long. RefSeq lists it as uncharacterized. The record is from RefSeq and is a predicted model, not a curated record. The transcript is spliced from 2 exons. Lineage: Eukaryota; Viridiplantae; Streptophyta; Magnoliopsida; Asterales; Asteraceae.
AUCUCAAUAUCUCUAUAUAAGAUCCAUAACUCACACACAAUUUCUCACAACACAUCUGCUCUCAUCUCUCUAUUAUACAAAUGAAACAGACACAUUAUCUCCUCCACUCCCUCUCUCGAUCACACUUCAAACAAACAAACUCUCACUACCCACCACCCUCUCGGUCACCUCCACUCCCUCCCUCUGAUUUCAGUCCGGCGAACAACCACAGGGAACCGGUGGCUGCCGGUGGUCCUUUCAGGCGAAGACACCCCCCCCCUUCUCGGUUCCCCUGUAACCCGAUAACCACCAAGCACACCCCCCUUACCUUUCUUCUUCGACUCACAAUCGGAGCACCACCACCACUGUCCGGUGGUGGUGCGGCGGGUACAAUCAGGGAGGAGAGAGAGAGACUCGGGAGGAGAGAGAGAGAGACGAAACGGAGAGAGAGAGACUGAGAGAGAAAGAGAGAGAGCGGUGGAGAUAAGAAGCGGCGCCGCCGCUCAUGGCGGCGGCAGUGGCGGCACGGCGGUGGUGGUGAACUCCGACGGGUUUCACGGUGAUUCCUGCUGCUGUUGUUAAUGUUAACGAUGAGGUGGACGCCGGUGGUGGCCGGCGAUGGCUGUAGCCGCCGGUGAUGAUGAUGGCAACGGCUGGUAAUGGCGGUGGUUUACUCAGUUCAGCCCGGUUGCAGGAUUCGGGUUAUAUUUUGGGUGCAAAAUCGCCCGGGUUCACAUGGUUCACGGGUACAGGGCGUGGUAUCGGCUCGGGCUCAGUCAACUGGUCAACUCGGUCAACUCGGGUCAGACCUGGUGUGGUUCGGGUUCAGCUCAUAUCGGGUUUGGUUCGGGUCAACUCGGUCAACUCAGACAAUGCGAGUCAACCCGGUUGACUCGGUCAACUGGUUAACUCAGUCUCGGUCAACGUCACGACGCGAAAGAUUUGGUAAAGAUUAACGACGCGGUUUAUUUCGUUAAUUCAUAGUUUAUAUCUUACGUGUCAAAACAAGCUCGAACCGAACGAUUAGAAUAUAGUUUACAUUGCGAUAUAUUUGACAAAAUACAUAAAUCAUGAUUGCAUAUUGUUGAA